AAAAAAAUUUGCAAUAAAACCUCCCAAAACAAAACACAACGCCUCUGCGGAGGAGAGUGCUAGGAAAUAGUCGCAAGGCUUGGAACGGCUAGCAUUUUAUCGGAUUGUUUGCAUGAAAUCAAUCGCUAUUAUGAAAUAGUUGGCGAAGAACAAUAUGAAUUACACACAAGAUGGCUGUGGAGGAGGCUAUGGAAGGGCAUGGUCUCAUUAUCAAGUGAAUCAACUGCAAUUCUGAC
This is a non-coding RNA of Paramuricea clavata, 236 nucleotides long. The record is from the annotation of a GenBank genome assembly. NCBI's taxonomy places the organism in Eukaryota, Metazoa, Cnidaria, Anthozoa, Malacalcyonacea, Plexauridae.